GGCCCGUUCGUCUAGAGGCUAGGACGUCAGAUUUUCAUUCUGGUAACAGGGGUUCGAUUCCCCUACGGGCUACCA
This 75-nucleotide transfer RNA is filed under the name Bacteroidota bacterium. RNAcentral's name for it is "Bacteroidetes bacterium (chicken gut metagenome) tRNA-Glu". It matches the Rfam family "tRNA". From Rfam's summary of the family: Transfer RNA (tRNA) molecules are approximately 80 nucleotides in length. Their secondary structure includes four short double-helical elements and three loops (D, anti-codon, and T loops). Lineage: Bacteria; Pseudomonadati; Bacteroidota. RNAcentral also lists the same sequence under 2 other names. The record is from RNAcentral.